RNAcentral lists this RNase P RNA (406 nucleotides) under Pleurocapsa sp. CCALA 161. RNAcentral describes it as "Bacterial RNase P class A". It matches the Rfam family "Bacterial RNase P class A". From Rfam's summary of the family: Ribonuclease P (RNase P) is a ubiquitous endoribonuclease, found in archaea, bacteria and eukarya as well as chloroplasts and mitochondria. Its best characterised activity is the generation of mature 5'-ends of tRNAs by cleaving the 5'-leader elements of precursor-tRNAs. The record is from Rfam by way of RNAcentral. Lineage: Bacteria; Bacillati; Cyanobacteriota; Cyanophyceae; Pleurocapsales; Pleurocapsaceae.
AGAGUUGGCGAGGUGGUUGCAGAUUUGUCCUAGAGGCAGAUUUGAGGAAAGUCCGGACUCCCGAAAGACCAUACUUGCUGGAUAAUUCCCAGUGCGAGCGAUCGCGAGGAUAGUGCCACAGAAAAAUACCGCCUUUUCAAUGAGCAAUAAACAGCAACAACUGAUAAUUGAUUAGGUAAGGGUGCAAAGGUGCGGUAAGAGCGCACCAGCAGUAUCGAGAGGUGCUGGCUCGGUAAACCCCAGUAGGGAGCAAGGUCGAAGGGAUUAGGGUUGGUCUUUUUCCCAUCCCGACCAAGGAGAACCGCAUGAGGUGUUUGGUAACAAGCAUCCUAGAUAGAUAACUACCCUCGGAUUAUAAAUCACGAUAAUCUGAGAACAGAAUCCGGCUUACGUUUCAACUCUCUUG